UUCUAACCGUAAACGAUGACAACCAGCGAUUAAUCGGCGUUAAUAUAUGACCCGAUUAGCAGCUUCCGGGAAACCAAAGUUUUUCGUUUCCGGGGGAAGUAUGGUUGCAAAGCUGAAACUUAAAGGAAUUGACGGAAGGGCACCACCAGGAGUGGAGCCUGCGGCUUAAUUUGACUCAACACGGGAAAACUCACCCGGCCCGGACACCGUAAGGAUUGACAGACUGAGAGCUCUUUCUUAAUUCGGUGGGUGGUGGUGCAUGGCCGUUCUUAGUUGGUGGAGCGAUUUGUCUGGUUAAUUCCGAUAACGAACGAGACUCUGGCCUAUUAAAUAGACGAUAUAUUUAAAAGUAUAUCGCGCUUCUUAGAGGGACAAGCGGCGUCUAGCCGCAUGAAAUAGAGCAAUAACAGGUCUGUGAUGCCCUUAGAUGUCCGGGGCUGCACGCGCGCUACACUGAAAGAAUCAGUGUGCGUUACGCCUAGUUCGGAAGAACCGGGUAACCCAAGUAAAUUCUUUCGUGCUUGGGAUAGGGAAUUGCAAUUAUUUCCCUUAAACGAGGAAUUCCCAG
RNAcentral lists this ribosomal RNA (568 nucleotides) under Aporcelaimellus environmental sample. RNAcentral describes it as "SSU rRNA". It matches the Rfam family "Eukaryotic small subunit ribosomal RNA", at positions 1024 to 1617 of the family's 1831-position model. Lineage: Eukaryota; Metazoa; Nematoda; Enoplea; Dorylaimida; Aporcelaimidae. The record is from RNAcentral.